AAGAAGACUGCAAACACCAGAGGCUGGACCUCACGUUCUUUCUUCUCUUCUUAGUUCCUGUGUGACCCUGGGCCUGAGUUUUCUCUCUUUCUGGAGAAUGAGAAGGAAACCCUCCUGGGGUUCCUAAGGACCAGCAGAGGCAGGAGGCAGAAGGCAGAGCUGUAAGAUGGUCCCCAACAUUCCUGCCCCCGGCGCACACAUCCUUCACACUCUCCUUUAACAUGGGUGGGCCUGGCCUAAUCAGGUGAGCUCUUAAAGGCCCUGGGCCCUUCCUGAAGUCAGACACACAAGUGUAGAGAGACUGGAAGUGUGAGGGACCCAUGGAGGGGGUCACAAGGCAAGGGUCUGGGGUGACCUCUAGGAGCCAAGUGGUCCCCGGCCAACAGCCUGCAAGAUAGUGAGGAUCUCAGUCCUACCCACAAGGAGAGGAAUUCUACCAGCAACCGAAGGGCCUGAAGAUGUUCCCCCUGCUGAGCCUGCAGCCGGGGGCGUGGGCCGCUGAGUGAGGACCAGCUGAAGCGUGCUGGGGUCUUGACCCACAGAGACCAGGAGUUCCAGGGAGGAUACAACAAGGUGGGCGCUACUAUACCCACCAAAUUGGAGCAGAAAACCAAGCCGGGAGAGGCUGUGAUUUUCCAAGGCCCCAAAGGCAUUAGACGAAGAGGGAACCGAGAGGGUCAGGAACUGUCCAAGGCCACAGCGCAAGCGAGGGAGCUAUAAAGUUGCGAUGGG
Long non-coding RNA from Bos taurus (domestic cattle), 732 nucleotides. Lineage: Eukaryota; Metazoa; Chordata; Mammalia; Artiodactyla; Bovidae. The record is from Ensembl.